RNAcentral lists this long non-coding RNA (202 nucleotides) under Nicotiana benthamiana. RNAcentral describes it as "long non-coding RNA (NBEN_LNC024059)". The record is from RNAcentral. Lineage: Eukaryota; Viridiplantae; Streptophyta; Magnoliopsida; Solanales; Solanaceae.
CUCAAGCUAAGUUAGACCAAACACUAACCUCGAUGCCACGAACACAAUUCAAGCCUCAACUACCGGUUUACCCCUACAUUAUACUUUCAAUUCACUUGUAUCUAGCCACAAUUUACUUAACAAUAUUAAUAAAUGCUAAAUGAAUCAAUUCUAAUGCAGGAAAAUAGGUUUUCUAAUAAUUUUCUCAAAAAGUCAAAAAUCG